RNAcentral lists this long non-coding RNA (2761 nucleotides) under Mus musculus (house mouse). Its description in RNAcentral is "DNA segment, Chr 6, ERATO Doi 474, expressed (D6Ertd474e)". The record is from RNAcentral. Lineage: Eukaryota; Metazoa; Chordata; Mammalia; Rodentia; Muridae.
AUUGCAUACACUCAGUCUUCAGGAGGAGGCAUCCCCUCUGGGUGCAGAACUUCCGCUGUGGCUGCUUGCUCAGGAUAAACUGGUGGGACCAUGACUCAUUUUGUCACUGGGACCACAGGAGGAGGGGCCAGAAGACAAUGAAGUGUGCGGUGAGCACUCUCACAUUUCGUUAGAUGCACCGUCUCUGAACCAGCUUACUCAGAACUUCAGGAUGGCGGUGUGCAGUUACCAACUGUUAAGUCAAAGAUUCUGGACUGUUUAGGCUGUGCCUCGGGAAAUCAUUGCCUCUAUGAAGUUGUCCAAGGCGAGCUUGAUAAGCCUCUGAAGGCACAGAAGAACUGUUUGGAGAGGGGCCUAUACAUCUCGAUCUACAGCUACAGCGUCACAUGCUACCCCUCAGAAACGGACCUUUUAAUGAUUUCAUCCUGUCAAAAAUCGCAUAUUUCAAAACAUUAGAAAGUUGACUUGCACAAAUAUAAAACAAGCAUGGAUCAGGAUGCUUCACCGUGUGCUCCAUAAGCUACUCAUCUGAUGUUUCAUAGGAAGCAGAAGAAAUUCCCAGCAAAGUGACCUGUGUUGCAAGACUCAAAAGAGGGAGAGAGAGAGUUGGCUCAGCUGGUGAAGAGCUUGAUGGACAUGAAGACCUGAGCUUGGAUCUCCCAACAUCUUUGUGAAAGGACGGGCACAGCCCCUGAAUCUCCAGAGCUGUGACAAUGGAAGCAAUGGCUCCUCAGAGCUUGCUGGCCAGCCAACCUGCUUGAGUUCAGCUCUAGAUUCUCUGUGACCCUGACUCAAAAACUAAGGCGUGGAGUGACUGAAGAAGAGAUCUGAUGUCAACCACUUGUUCUUAUUUACACACACACACACACACACACACACACACACACACACUCUUAAAUAAAAAUUAAAUUAUUUGUUGAAAAUGACAAAAAGAUGGACACCAUACAGUUAGAAGUGGCAGCUACCAAGGGACUUGUCUUGUGGUGCUCUUUUAUCAACAGUUUCUGAUUCCUUUGACAUAGCAAGUGGCAGUCCUGGGAGCCGGUUUCCAGUCACAAAUCCCAGUUCCCUUUCUCCCCGUUUUGUUCAGGUUCUGCCACUGUCUUGAGUAUGCUCUUUUGUGCUUACUAAAGCUGUGCUGUGUGGGAGAGUCAUCUGUUUGUUCCUUGUUCUUCAGUGGGCUGAGUGAUGGACCCCUCCCUCUUUACAGAUAAUAGAUCUGUGAGAAAUCUCACACCACUGGGACCUUAUUUGGGCUUAGAGAUUUGCUGGUGUAGUUGAGAGGCUUGGGAGAAGAACACAAUGGUUAAUUUGGUUGUUGACUGUUAGGAUCUGAAAUCACUGAGGAGAUAAACUUCUGAGUGUAUCUGUGAGGAAGAUUCUAGAUAGAGUUACGUGGGAUUAGAAGACUCAGUCUGACUGUGGAUUGUGGAGAAUUUUAGGACACAUUGCUAAAAAUGUCUCCUGGGAACCCAGUCUUCCUCUUAAAACAUGAAUGAAAAUCUCUUUCUUCGGGUUGGCUGGCCAGCUCUUCACACAUUUCCUUGUACAUCAUUCUGCCGUUCGUGAGCACGGGAGCUUGCACUCACUGAUCUCCAGUACCUGGGCCACCUUCGUGUCUCAGUUGCUUAUUUUCUUGAGCAGUCUAGGGUUGUGUAAUCCUGAGAGUCUUGAGGCCGUUAGAUUAUUGCUGGUAGAGAAGAGGCCACCAAGGGGCAGGAGACACAAGGAACCAUUCAUGUGGCAGGUGGUGAUCAGAGAGAGAAAGCAGAGCUAACGGUGGAAGAUUUGAGAUAUGGAACCUAGUAAUUAUAGAUUUUUUGCACAAAUUAUGAGACUCUGCUUCUUUUUUAUUUUUUGAAAGAUAGUCUCAUUACGUAGCUCCUUCCUAUGCAGACCAGGCUGGCCUUGGACGCAGAGAUUGGCCUGAUUCUGCUGGGACUAAGGCCACUAAACCUGGCGACAGUGAAAACUUUGUGCAUAAAAUCUAAGGUUUCUCCCUUUGGUAUCCUUGAUUUCCUUCUACACAGGAACGAUAUUUAGCAAGCACACAACACUCACAAUAUACUAAAUACAGUUCUAUGUGUUAUGUAAAUAACUUGCUUAGUUUCCGGGCAAACCUAUAAGGGGUAUUGUCACUGUCCACAUCGUACUGAGCUGUAGAGCCAUUCGAACACCUUCCUGCUUCCACAAGGCUGGGCACUGAUGAGUUAUGCUGGGCCUCAGUUAUGGCUGCUGGACGCAAUACAAGACACCCAGUUGAGUGUGAGCCUCAGGCAAACUCAUGUUUAAGUGUAAGCAUGGCCUGCAUUUUUAUUGCUAACUCUUGUCAGCCUCAUACCCUUGUUUACCCCUUAAUACAUACAAUCUCCUUAUUUAAAAAAAAGUCUCUGUAGGGACAGAACAAGAAGCAUAACUCAGAUUAGGUUUCUGUCUGUGUCAAUGUCCUGGAUCUAAGGUUGGGGAGUGCUGCAGAGUACAUGGUAUGUUCUGUUACUUCCUUCCUGUGCGAACACAGCUCUCGUUGUGUGUUAUCCUGCAAGGGAACUCGCAUCGCUAUGAGACGAUGCCUCUCCCCCCGCUAUUUAUUACAAGAGAUCCAUUGCAUUGUCAAACGUGGCUGCAGUUCCAUCCCUGGCCCAGAGGCACGCAGGGUCCCCACAUCUAGCCUUUAAUGUCAACUUGGCUUUCACUGACACUAAUAAUCACUCAUUAUUCCUUCUCAAACCCUAAUUUAAUUAAAAUAUAUGUUUACACCACG